This 483-nucleotide ribosomal RNA is filed under the name uncultured bacterium. Its description in RNAcentral is "partial 16S ribosomal RNA". It matches the Rfam family "Bacterial small subunit ribosomal RNA", at positions 28 to 523 of the family's 1533-position model. The record is from RNAcentral.
GACGAACGCUGGCGGCGUGCUUAACACAUGCAAGUCGAACGAUGAAGCCGGAGCUUGCUCCGGUGGAUUAGUGGCGAACGGGUGAGUAACACGUGAGCAAUCUGCCCUUGACUCUGGGAUAACUGCGGGAAACUGUAGCUAAUACCGGAUACGACACCUUGGGGCAUCCCAGCGUGUGGAAAGAAUGUCGGUCAAGGAUGAGCUCGCGGCCUAUCAGCUAGUUGGUGAGGUAAUGGGUCACCAAGGCGACGACGGGUAGCCGGCCUGAGAGGGUGAGCGGACACACUGGAAAUGAGACGCGGGCCAGACUCCUACGGGAGGCAGCAGUGGGGCAUAUUGCACAAGGGGCGAAAGGCGGAUGCAGCAACGCCGCGUGAGGGAUGAAGGCCUUCGGGUUGUAAACCUCUUUUAGCAGGGAAGAAGCGAAAGUGACGGUACCUGCAGAAAAAGCACCGGCUAACUACGUGCCAGCCGCCGCAGUAA